Molecule: ribosomal RNA, 460 nt
Filed under: uncultured bacterium
Lineage: Bacteria
Description: partial 16S ribosomal RNA
Rfam family: Bacterial small subunit ribosomal RNA
Source: RNAcentral
CCUACGGGCGGCAGCAGUGAGGAAUAUUGGUCAAUGGCCGGAAGGCUGAACCAGCCAUGCCGCGUGAAGGUCAGUGCCCUAUGGGCGUUAAACUUCUUUUGUGCGGGAGAAAUAAUGGUCACGUGUGGCCAGACGAGAGUACCGUACGAAUAAGCAUCGGCUAAAUCCGUGCAAGCAGCCGCGGUAAUACGGGGGAUGCAGGCGUUAUCCGGGUUUAUUGGGGUUAAAGGGUGCGUAGGCUGUGACGUAAGUCAGCGGGGAAAUGCCCCCGCUCAAAGGGGUGAAGUGCCAUUGAUACUGGCGGGCUGGAAUGCGGAUGCCGUGGGAGGAAUGUGUGGUGUAGCGGUGAAAUGCAUAGAUAUCACACAGAACACCGAUUGCGAAGGCAUCUCACGAAUCCGCGAUUGACGCUGAUGCACGAAAGCGUGGGUAUCAAACAGGAUUAGAUACCCGAGUAGUC